Molecule: RNase P RNA, 483 nt
Filed under: Rubrivirga litoralis
Lineage: Bacteria; Pseudomonadati; Rhodothermota; Rhodothermia; Rhodothermales; Rubricoccaceae
Also listed under: 1 other name
Description: RNase P RNA component class A
Rfam family: Bacterial RNase P class A
About the family: Ribonuclease P (RNase P) is a ubiquitous endoribonuclease, found in archaea, bacteria and eukarya as well as chloroplasts and mitochondria.
Source: RNAcentral
CGCGUCGGCCGGGCCGCCGCCUCGGGCCGGGCCGCGUGCGGCGCACGCCCGGGGAGGAACGUCCGGACACCGCAGGGCACUGUGCUUCCUAACGGGAAGGCGCCCGCCCCGCCCCGGCCUGCUUCGGCAGACGGGCGGGGUGGCGCGACGGCACGUGCAACAGAGAACAGACCAGCCGAUGGCCCGGGCCGCUCGCGGCGCGCGGCACAGGUGAUGGGUGAAACGGUGGGGUAAGAGCCCACCAGCGCGGCCGGCGACGGCCGCGGCUAGGCAAACCCCACGGGGUGCAAGGCCACACAGCGUCCGCCCCGCCCGACCCGACCGCCCGCGGUCGGGGCCGAGCGGGAAAGGGUGCCCGCCCGAGGACGCGGGUAGGCCGCUCGAGGCCGCCGGCGACGGCGGUCCCAGAUAGAUGGCGGCCCAGGGCGGCGGUGGCGACGGCCGCCGCCCGGACAGAAUCCGGCGUACAGGCCGGCGCGCGUC